UUGGUUGUACCAAAAGUUAAAGGAGGGAUGGGAUUCAAAGACUUGCAACUCUUUAAUCUAGCACUACUCAGCAAGCAUGGGUGGCGCUUGAUGACGAAUCCAAACUCUCUAUGUUCGCGAGUCUUAAAAGGCAGAUAUUUCCACUCCUGUGAUUUCAUGCAAGCCACUGCACCUAAGUUUUCUUCAGCUGUAUGGCGGCUAUAA
This 204-nucleotide ribosomal RNA is filed under the name Triticum aestivum (bread wheat). RNAcentral describes it as "partial small subunit ribosomal RNA". The record is from RNAcentral. Lineage: Eukaryota; Viridiplantae; Streptophyta; Magnoliopsida; Poales; Poaceae.